CACCUGUCCAAUAAUCACAUCAUAGCCGGCAAGGCUACCAAACCCACACAAGCAUGCAAAAGUAAAAUCAACACUCAUUCAUCACGCAUGCAUCAUGCAAGAAGGUAGUCAAUUUAAUGAUUGAUUGUGAAAAUGCAUAUUAACUACAUGCCGAAUAUUUGUUUGAAAAUUAUGCUACCAUCCCCCAAACUUAUACAGUACAUUGUCCUCAAUGUAAAUGUAAAGUUAGAAAAGCAUAAUUUAAAAAUAUAAACACAACUUGGCAAAUAGAGGUAAACAACACUCCCCUGAUCAAAGUGGUGGUCGUGGUGUGUAGCUGGGACCCGCAGCAUGAUCUUCAGGAGGAGAUGGAAGGCGAGAUAGGAUUUGUCUCAUCAACUCUGUCUGCUGCGCUUGCUCUGCCUGAAUGGAUUGAAGCCUAUUCUCCAUACUUCCCAAUCGAUCCCAGGUUUCGUUCACUCGCCACUGUAUGCCAUCCAUUCUCCCAGCAUACAUGUUGAACCUACCAUUCAUGGUCUCCACUUCCCGUCGUGCCGCUGUGGCUUCAUUCAAAGCACCCCUUGUGUAGUCCCGGGAAGAGUAGAGGUCUCUCUGCACUUUGUCAACAGUGGUAGUCAUGGUCUCGAAACUCUGCUGGAGAUGUUGUAUGUCCCGGCCAGUUCUAGUGGUGGUGGCAAAUAUCUGCCUCAAUACCUGAUUGUCCAUAUCAACCUGGGGUGGUGGUGGAGGAAUUUGAGGCAUGUCAAGGUCUGCAUCUGCUUGACCUUCCUCAUUCAAUUGCUGUCGUCGUCGUGCGUUUUCUAAUUUCUGUUGGUGCUUCAGUCUCGCUCGGUCUUGGGCCUCUAGUGUGGAUUGCUUGAUAAAGGGGCUUGGCUUUUCUGGUGCUUCCCCAGGUUGAAUUUGUAUGCCUGCUGCUCUACA
RNAcentral lists this long non-coding RNA (921 nucleotides) under Olea europaea subsp. europaea. Lineage: Eukaryota; Viridiplantae; Streptophyta; Magnoliopsida; Lamiales; Oleaceae. The record is from RNAcentral.